CCCGUCUGGGCGCAGCUGAUGCAGCCAUGCCGCGUGUAUGAAGAAGGCCUUCGGGUUGUAAAGUACUUUCAGCGGGGAGGAAGGGAGUAAAGUUAAUACCUUUGCUCAUUGACGUUACCCGCAGAAGAAGCACCGGCUAACUCCGUGCCAGCAGCCGCGGUAAUGG
Molecule: ribosomal RNA, 166 nt
Filed under: uncultured bacterium
Lineage: Bacteria
Description: partial 16S ribosomal RNA
Rfam family: Bacterial small subunit ribosomal RNA
Source: RNAcentral